GCAUAUCAGAAGCUAUUAGUGCGUCCAGCACUGAUAACUACCCUGAAGAAAGCAUCUGGAACACUUUGGAGCCAAAUGAUAAAGUUGGACAUGGAGCUUCAUAUUGGUCAAGUAAAGGGCAAAGUAACCCUACUGUUCCUGAAGCAUUAGUGUACAAGUUUAUAGCUAAUUUAUGUCUCAUAACUGAAAUCCAUAUUCAACCAUUCCAAGCAUACUUCCAGUAUGGCUUCCCUAUAUAUUCAUCUAAGGCUGUCCGAUUUAGACUGGGUCAUCAUAAGUUUCCACUGCAGUUGGAGAAUAAUGUCACAGUUAAUUCUGCUUUCAAUCACAAUUCAAUGGAUGACAAGUUUAUUUGGACAUAUACUUCACCAGAAUUUCCAAUGGCUCAGGAAAACUGCUUGCAAAAGUUCAAGCUACCAGAACCGGUUCUUUGUAUCGGAGGAAUUUUGCAAGUUGAGCUACUGGGAAGAGUUCAGAGACAAGAAAUGGAUGGAUUAUAUUAUAUAUGUAUAUCCCAUGUUCAGGCGGUGGGACGACCCCUUUCACACCCAUUUGAUGUGGAAAUACUUGAUCCCACAGGAAAGUGCACCUUAAAGUAUAGCCCUCUCAGAGAAUCCCGUGGAUCACAUAAAGGAGAGACAUGUGCAACUUCUCGCUUGCAAAUGUUGACUGUGAGAUUAAUGGAGAGAGGCGUAAGGGGAUGGGAAAAUAUGAUUCUCAAUACACUGCUUGGCACUGGGCCAGUGGCUGAAGAGGAUGAGUCAGAUGAUCUUUUAGAGGAUGACUCGGACGAUGAGCUGUUGACAUAAGCUUUAAAAUUUUUGUUUGCAGUUCGUGUUCCCAUUUACGCCUUCUGCUGCACUAAGAUCAAUUGUGCAAAUGGGUAAUGUGGAAAGCCAUAAACUAGUGUCAUCGACAAGUAGGAGGGGACAUUUCUAUUUGUUUUAACAUUUUUAUGAUAUGGUGAUGUGUGACCAACUUAUUAUUUAGUUAAUGAUAUAUCAUUG
This 1007-nucleotide unclassified non-coding RNA is filed under the name Hevea brasiliensis (rubber tree). Lineage: Eukaryota; Viridiplantae; Streptophyta; Magnoliopsida; Malpighiales; Euphorbiaceae. The record is from RNAcentral.